Molecule: ribosomal RNA, 463 nt
Filed under: uncultured bacterium
Lineage: Bacteria
Description: partial 16S ribosomal RNA
Rfam family: Bacterial small subunit ribosomal RNA
Source: RNAcentral
GACGAACGCUGGCGGCGUGCUUAACACAUGCAAGUCGAGCGGAAAGGCCCUUUCGGGGGUACUCGAGCGGCGAACGGGUGAGUAACACGUGAGUAAUCUGCCCUUCACUUGGGGAUAACCUCCGGAAACGGUGGCUAAUACCCGAUACGACCAUUCCUCGCAUGAGGUGGUGGUGGAAAGUUUUUCGGUGGGGGAUGUGCUCGCGGCCUAUCAGCUUGUUGGUGGGGUAAUGGCCUACCAAGGCUUCGACGGGUAGCCGGCCUGAGAGGGUGACCGGCCACACUGGGACUGAGACACGGCCCAGACUCCUACGGGAGGCAGCAGUGGGGAAUAUUGGACAAUGGGCGGAAGCCUGAUCCAGCAACGCCGCGUGAGGGAGGACGGCCUUCGGGUUGUAAACCUCUUUCACCUGUGACGAAGCGAAAGGGACGGUAGCAGGAGAAGAAACACCGGCCAACUACGU